GAUGAACGCUGGCGGCGUGCCUAAUACAUGCAAGUCGAGCGAACGGACGUGUAUCUUGUUUCUCUGAUGUUAGCGGCGGACGGGUGAGUACCACUUGGAUGACCUCCCUAUCUGACUGGGAUUGCUUCUAGACACCGGAGCUAAUACCGGAUAAUAUUAUGAACCCCAUGGUUCACUAGUGACAGAUUGUCUUGCUGUUACUUCUAUAUCUUUCCGCGCUGCAUUAGCUAGUUGGUAAGGUAACGGCUUACCAAGGCAACGAUGCAUAGCCGACCUGAGAGGGUGAUAGGCCACACUGGAACUGAGACACGGUCCAGACGCCGACGGGAGGCAGCAGUAGGGAAUCUUCCGCAAUGGGCGAAAGCCUGACGGAGCAACGCCGCGUGAGUGAUGAAGGUCUUCGGAUCGUAAAACUCUGUUAUUAGGGAAGAACAUAUGUGUAAGUAACUGUGCACAUCUUGACGGUACCUAAUCAGAAAGCCACGGCUAACUACGUG
Molecule: ribosomal RNA, 497 nt
Filed under: uncultured bacterium
Lineage: Bacteria
Description: partial 16S ribosomal RNA
Rfam family: Bacterial small subunit ribosomal RNA
Source: RNAcentral